Molecule: long non-coding RNA, 336 nt
Filed under: Malus domestica (apple)
Lineage: Eukaryota; Viridiplantae; Streptophyta; Magnoliopsida; Rosales; Rosaceae
Description: long non-coding RNA (MDOM_LNC000865)
Source: RNAcentral
CAUUUGAUCCUGUUGAGUACAAGGACAAAGUUUUUGUUCCUGGCCAGUCCAACAAUGCAUACAUUUUUCCUGGAUUUGGUCUGGGUUUGGUUAUCUCUGGAGCAAUCCGUGUUCACGAUGACAUGCUUCUGGCAGCCUCGGAAGCCUUGGCGGGGCAAGUUUUCGAGGAGAAUUUUGCACAGGGGCUGAUCUAUCCACCAUUGUCGAACAUCAGAAAGAUUUCUGCCCAAGUAGCUGCUAAUGUAGCUGCCAAGGCAUAUGACCUUGGCGUGGCUACGCGUCUCCCUCGUCCUGAGAAUCUUGUGAAGCAUGCCGAGAGUUGCAUGUACAGUCCCG